RNAcentral lists this long non-coding RNA (505 nucleotides) under Crocodylus porosus (Australian saltwater crocodile). RNAcentral describes it as "lncRNA (ENSCPRG00005011859.1)". Lineage: Eukaryota; Metazoa; Chordata; Crocodylia; Crocodylidae. The record is from RNAcentral.
AUGAAUGACAGAGUUAUGACACUGGACAGGACACCAGCUCCAUGGGGGAAGUUUCAAAAAACUCUUGGCAAACAUGAUAACCAUUCAUUAAAAGCCAUAUCUUUCUGUCCAAUCCUGGCUAACCUUAUACUUUUCUUUACAGAAUCUUUCUAUCACAUUGGGUUCCAGCUCCUCUUUAUAACCCAGUUGCAGUUAACAAGAAGCACCUGCCACUCUGACUCAAUGAUAAACAUGAAGAAAUAUUCACUGUUGCAAAAACAACAGACUGGACAAAAUGUAAACAGAGUAUUACAGAAUAAGAAAUUGGAAUAUUUAAACGGGGAAGUGAAUGCUUCAGUGUGAUCCAAAGGACUUGUCUGGGAAAAGGGGUGCACUACAAAUCACAAAGGAGAAAAAUGAAUGCAUGUACUGAAACCCCCAAACAACACUUUCCAAUUGUCUUGAAGUGUACCUGGGAGCACAUAAAGAAAAUAAAGAAAAAUCUUCAAUUUACUGACUUAAAAUA